CGAUGAACCACUUCGGUGGGGAUUAGUGGCGAACGGGUGAGUAACACGUGGGCAAUCUGCCCUGCACUCUGGGACAAGCCCUGGAAACGGGGUCUAAUACCGGAUACUGACCACUACAGGCAUCUGUGGUGUUCGAAAGCUCCGGCGGUGCAGGAUGAGCCCGCGGCCUAUCAGCUUGUUGGUGAGGUAACGGCUCACCAAGGCGACGACGGGUAGCCGGCCUGAGAGGGCGACCGGCCACACUGGGACUGAGACACGGCCCAGACUCCUACGGGAGGCAGCAGUGGGGAAUAUUGCACAAUGGGCGCAAGCCUGAUGCAGCGACGCCGCGUGAGGGAUGACGGCCUUCGGGUUGUAAACCUCUUUCAGCAGGGAAGAAGCGAAAGUGACGGUACCUGCAGAAGAAGCGCCGGCUAACUACGUGCCAGCAGCCGCGGUAAUACGUAGGGCGCGAGCGUUGUCCGGAAUUAUUGGGCGUAAAGAGCUCGUAGGCGGCUUGUCGCGUCGGUUGUGAAAGCCCGGGGCUUAACCCCGGGUCUGCAGUCGAUACGGGCAGGCUAGAGUUCGGUAGGGGAGAUCGGAAUUCCUGGUGUAGCGGUGAAAUGCGCAGAUAUCAGGAGGAACACCGGUGGCGAAGGCGGAUCUCUGGGCCGAUACUGACGCUGAGGAGCGAAAGCGUGGGGAGCGAACAGGAUUAGAUACCCUGGUAGUCCACGCCGUAAACGGUGGGCACUAGGUGUGGGCAACAUUCCACGUUGUCCGUGCCGCAGCUAACGCAUUAAGUGCCCCGCCUGGGGAGUAC
RNAcentral lists this ribosomal RNA (802 nucleotides) under Streptomyces sp. RNAcentral's name for it is "bacterial SSU rRNA". It matches the Rfam family "Bacterial small subunit ribosomal RNA", at positions 67 to 883 of the family's 1533-position model. Lineage: Bacteria; Bacillati; Actinomycetota; Actinomycetes; Kitasatosporales; Streptomycetaceae. The record is from RNAcentral.